This 1108-nucleotide long non-coding RNA is filed under the name Triticum aestivum (bread wheat). RNAcentral's name for it is "long non-coding RNA (TAES_LNC006488)". The record is from RNAcentral. Lineage: Eukaryota; Viridiplantae; Streptophyta; Magnoliopsida; Poales; Poaceae.
AUGCUCAGUGCUCUGUCCGGCAUAACACAAGAAGUUCAUGUAAAACAGCUGCGAACAUUCAGGUACAUCAAAGAAUAUACUCAUGUGUGCAUAUAGAUGAGUUCUCACCUACCCAUUUUGCUCUCGAUGGUGCUUCUGUAGUUCAGCUUGAGUGUGUGAGAGAGAUUAGUUGAUGUUGUUAUCCUUGUUUUUUCUGAGAGAGAUUAGCUCGCCCCUCCUCCAUCGAUGGCCUACACCGUCCGCUAGAACCCGUCCAGGUGCUGGCCGUCAUCCUCUACCUUCAAUUACGGGUCAGCAACAACGUUGCGAAUAGAAAGGUCAGCAUCUGGCCCUCUAGAAGUUCAGUUUGUUGAUUUUCUGAAGUUUUUAAAUUGGACUAUAACCGUGUAUAUUUUGCAGGGCCCUGUGAAGUUCAAUUUGUUUUGCUUUCCGAAGUUUAGUUUGUUGAUUUUCUGAAGUUUGGAUUGUUAAUUUUUUGAAGAGAAAGGUUGAUUCACUUGCACUCCUCUAUCUAGUCCUCUGUGGUGAUAUCCUCGACUCCUCGGUUCGGAGCUAGCAGCGGUUCUUCAACUUCCCUGCUGUGUUGUCGCGAUUGUUGGUAAAUAAUUUGUUCUACUAUUUCCUUGUAGUAAUGCUGGAUGGGUUCCCCCUUGUUGUGGAACCAUAAUAAUAUAAGUUUGUCUCUGCGCUCCUGUUCCUGUGAUUACAAUAGCAGAGAAAAGUACCAAGGGUCAGAACCAAACCAGAGUGAACCAUACGAAUCAGAACAUGGUCAUUUGGAACCAACUCUAAUCAUUUGUUCAUCUAACUGCAGUAGAGACAAAUUUUAUACUUUGUUCAUCUACGGUGCCAAGUUGAGCGGACACCGUAGCGCUCGAGAAGAUGGGGAGAGGGUGUGUGGUGAAGAGAAAACAUAGGGUUUCAAAUUGUCCAUUGGUGGUAGCAUCUAAUCAUUUUACCAAAGUGUAAUGGACAUGUGUAUGUAUGUACAGUAGCAUAUUUUACUCAAACCGAGUUAUUUUUUUAAUGCACGAAGUUUGUCCAGCCAAAAAAACAUGUAUUAAACUGGUUUUUGUGUAUUUUUCUAACCUUUUCUACACCUUUCUAC